CACACUCCACUCCCUCCUACCUUCCUCCCCCUUCCUCCCCACGAGCUGUUGCUCCUUCUUAGCUCCAUGGCCGGCCAUGGCCAUGGAAAGCCACCAAGAUGAAGCUCCCCUCCUUCCUCAAGCUUCCCCUCACCAUGAGAGCAUCCCUCUCACUCUCUUCUCACCUAAUCUUGGAUGAGUCCAGCUCACUUUCUCCUUUCUCCUCUCACUAGAUUGGAUCUUGAUGCAGGUGCAUGUUGGUCCAAGCAUGGAGAAGGUUGAGCUAUCCUCAGAUCUGAAGUUCUUGAGCAAAAUCCAAAUCGAGUGAUUCAAAAUUCCACAGAUAGAUCAACAUCUGGUCAGAUCUGACUUUGUCGAAUUAAACCAGGAGCUUGGAAACGAAUUUUUGAAUGAAACCAAUUGGGGGAUACUUAGUUUGUGCCAUGGUGAUACCUAGAGAGGCAAUUGCUAAGUCGUGGCACUCUCAUACCUUUACUAGAUUGCGAACGAUUCCGGAGAAGAUGAAGAAGUGGAUCGGACAAGGAUUUUAUUUAUAUUGUUGGGAUUCUUACAUUGAUGGAGUUGAAGAAGUACAGGGACAAAUAAGCCAA
Long non-coding RNA from Lolium perenne, 590 nucleotides. RefSeq lists it as uncharacterized. The record is from RefSeq and is a predicted model, not a curated record. Lineage: Eukaryota; Viridiplantae; Streptophyta; Magnoliopsida; Poales; Poaceae.